RNAcentral lists this ribosomal RNA (495 nucleotides) under uncultured bacterium. Its description in RNAcentral is "bacterial SSU rRNA". It matches the Rfam family "Bacterial small subunit ribosomal RNA", at positions 103 to 537 of the family's 1533-position model. The record is from RNAcentral.
CGGGUGAGUAAUACUUAGGAAUCUACCUAGUAGUGGGGAUAGGCUCGGGGAAACUCGAAUUAAUACCGCAUACGACCUACGGGAGAAAGGGGGCAACUUGUUGCUCUCGCUAUUAGAUGAGCCUAAGUCGGAUUAGCUAGAUGGUGGGGUAAAGGCCUACCAUGGCGACGAUCUGUAGCUGGUCUGAGAGGAUGAUCAGCCACACCGGGACUGAGACACGGCCCGGACUCCUACGGGAGGCAGCAGUGGGGAAUAUUGGACAAUGGGGGCAACCCUGAUCCAGCCAUGCCGCGUGUGUAGAAGAAGGCCUUUUGGUUGUAAAGUCACUUUAAGACAAGUGAAGAAGACUCCGUGGUUAAUAACCCACGGACGAUGACAUUAGCUCGCAGAAAUAAAGCACCGGCUAAACUCUGUGCCAGCAGCCGCGGUAAAUACAAGAGGGUGCAACGUACGUUAAAGUACGGUAACGUUAACGUACGGGUACGUAAACGUACG